RNAcentral lists this unclassified non-coding RNA (2120 nucleotides) under Hevea brasiliensis (rubber tree). The record is from RNAcentral. Lineage: Eukaryota; Viridiplantae; Streptophyta; Magnoliopsida; Malpighiales; Euphorbiaceae.
UCCAAGCGUGCUGUUUGCUUUCCAGUUGCGGAUGGGACAUCUUGUUGCUUUGGAAUCAGAUACUACUAACAUGAAUUUUAUUGUUUAAUGCAGAUUUUGGUGCAACACAUCAAAAAACUCCUUCCAGGAUUGAAAUCACGCAUUAGUGCUGGACUUGUGUCUGUCGCAAAGGAGCAUGCUAGCUAUGGGGAGAUCACCGAGUCAAAGGCUGGUAUGGGUGCUCUCCUUCUGAACAUUCUUUCCAAGUACAGUGAAGCAUUCUCUUCAAUGAUAGAAGGCAAAAAUGAAGAAAUGUCAACUUCUGAGCUUUCUGGUGGAGCAAGGAUUCAUUACAUUUUUCAGAACAUAUUUGUGAAAAGUUUGGAGGAAGUUGAUCCUUGUGAAGAUUUAAGCGAUGAUGACAUCCGAACUGCCAUUCAAAAUGCAACCGGUGCCAAAUCUGCAUUAUUUGUGCCAGAGGUCCCUUUUGAAGUUCUCAUCCGAAGGCAAAUAGCACGAUUAAUGGACCCGAGUUUUCAAUGUGCACGAUUUAUAUAUGAUGAGCUGGUUAAAAUGAGCCAUCGUUGUAUGGUCAAUGAGUUGCAACGUUUUCCAAUUUUGAGAAAGCGCAUGGAUGAGGUUAUUGGAAAUUUUUUGCGUGAAGGACUGGGACCUUCAGAAGUAAUGAUUGGACACCUUAUUGAGAUGGAGAUGGAUUACAUAAAUACUUCACAUCCAAAUUUUAUUGGUGGGACUAAAGCUCAUGAGAUGGCAUUACAGCAGGUCAAGUCCUCUAGGAUUGCUGCACCGAAUCCGAGGCAGAAAGAUGGCGUAGAUUUAGAAAAAGCACCAACCUCUGAAAGAAGUCUAAAAUCACGUGCUAUACUUGCCAGAUCAGUUGGUGGUUUUGUCCCUGAUCAGGUUGUUCGGCCUGCUCCAGAAGUUGAGAAAACUACAGCAUCAGGAUCAAAUGUUGGUUCAAGUUGGGGAAUAUCAUCAAUAUUUGGUGGCUCGGACAAUCGUGCAUCUGUAAAAGACAAUUUCAUUAACAAGCCAUUCAGUGAUACUGCACUGAGCAUGGAUCAUGCUUUCUCAAUGAUCCACUUGAGAGAGCCCCCAAGUGUCUUGAGGCCUUCAGAAACUCAUUCAGAUCAGGAAACUAUUGAAAUUGCCAUUACAAAACUGUUAUUGCGGUCAUACUAUGACGUUGUCAGGAAGAAUAUUGAAGACUCGGUACCUAAAGCAAUCAUGCAUUUUCUGGUAAAUCACACCAAAAGAGAUCUUCACAAUGUGUUCAUCAAGAAACUCUACAGAGAAAACCUCCUCGAAGAAAUGUUGCAAGAACCUGAUGAGAUAGCCAUGAAGAGAAAGCGUACACGUGAGACACUUCGUGUUCUUCAGCAAGCUUUCAAGACAUUGGAGGAGUUACCACUUGAUGCUGAGACAGUUGAAAGGGGUUAUAGCUUGGGUACUGAUCUGACAGGCCUUCCAAAGAUUCACGGGCUUCCAUCAUCAUCAAUGUACACUACAAGCAGUGGCUCAACUGGUUCACAUACCAGUUCUCCAAAGAGCUCUAGAUUGCGCAAUGCAUCCCAUUCAGGUGAGCUACAGUUACCAAUGUAUGGUGGUGUAGAUUCAAACGGUGGUGGGCAUAAUGCUGGUAUUUAUCCAACAGUAGGUGUAUAAGAGACUCAAUAGAUGCAGGGUUUGAUCAUUCACGAGUAAUUUAUUUGCUCUCUCCACCAUCAUUGCAAAACCCGUCUCUGGUGCAGUGGAGUGCUACUAUUUUUUGUCAUGGGCAAUGUUUUGCUGAGCUGAUCGCUAUUGGCUUUUACCCACUUACUGUCUAUUUCUAUGUCAACUAUAAAUUCAUUGUUCGUAGAAGCUGUACGAAAUAAGAGGGGACUUUUCGUCUUUAUAGGAAGAGGCUAGUUUUGUUGCCUUUCGUUAUGAUAGUUGGCAAUUUAUUUUCUAGCCGCCAAUUUUUGAGUUCGAUACUUCAUUUGCUUUCUCAAUUUUGUCAAAUGUGAUAGUAGGAAAUAUCAUCACUUGUGUAUAAUAUGCCUUCUUAUUUUGGGAAAUUCUUGUCAUUUUCUGCACAACGAUGUUCCCCACCAAUACAGAUUACUGUAAUUUGAACG